This is a long non-coding RNA of Micropterus salmoides (largemouth bass), 1226 nucleotides long. RefSeq lists it as uncharacterized. NCBI's taxonomy places the organism in Eukaryota, Metazoa, Chordata, Actinopteri, Centrarchiformes, Centrarchidae. The transcript is spliced from 2 exons. The record is from RefSeq and is a predicted model, not a curated record.
UUCAAGCAGGCGUGGUUGGCACGUGCUUUUGUUGUGUUGAAGCGGGGGUUUUAACACUACAGUUAAAAUAAUGUUCCACAGCAGGGUCACUAUUCCAUCGGAUUCUUCUCUGUCAAAAUGACCUUUUGCAUUACCGCCUCACGAACAACCAGACUGCCAGAGAAUAUUACUCCUCCGCUAGUAUAUUUAUAUUCCUCAGUUAAUCACUAGCGGCCUGUAUAACCGGAUAGCGAACACCAUCAGAACAUCAAAGCAGGUGCUGCUGUGACUGCUGGCUGUGGAAUCUGACCUGCUGCGAAGACUUGAAAUUCCAACCCUGGACUGAAAUAUGGCAGAAGAAAGAAGAAUAACUGGAUGUGCGGUCGCCCUAAAGGGCAACACACACACCCAUUGUUGAUGCCUGUCAGCUUGUCAGGAUAAGCCAUGGUCCUAUUUCCCAACGCCAACACAUGUCCGCUCUCCUGAAAAUCAGCAAUUUUAUCACAUUUACUUCCCAAAUAAGCACAUACUGGCCACUCUUCUUUAACCCAUUCUUGUUCUGUCAUUGUGCGUGGGCUAUGGGCAUCAAUUACAGUGACACAAUGCAUUAUUGUAAAUUGGUUUCUUGAAGGGAGUUUGUGAUAAAUCUGUAAACUUUUACAGUGCUUUAGUGUGAGGCCUGUUGAUUGUCUUCAUAACGGAUGGAGAAUUGACAUAGUUAAAAAAAAAAGCGAGUAAAAAUCAAUCAUCAGUCAGUUGAUCUGCUUAUAGAGGGGUUUUCCUAUUCAACUGGCUUGUCUGUUGCCACAAAAUGUCAAUUUUAACUUGGUUUACAAAGACUAAAAAUUCUUUAAACAUGGUCUGAUGCAGAGAAGGAAAUCUUUCAAAACAGGGUAUUUCACAGUUGUUAACAAGAGCCACUCCUUUAUUCAAACUUUGGUUGGUCUAGGAAAGGUAACACAAAGAGAGAUGGUGAGAGAGGUGUAGCAGGAGCAGUCAUAAAACAGGAACAGAAACUGUAAAGCCUGAAGAACAGGUUUGCUGAAUGAUAGUAUCGUCACAUCCUCUGCUGUUUUAAAUGUAAACAGAAACAGUCAUGCUAAGAAACCCUUGAGCUGUGAACUCAAACACGUGUAUAAUCAAAACAUGUUAUGAAGUAAUUUCUGUAGAUAUGUAACCUCUAAACUGACAGUCCUGUUGUUUUGGAUAUUGAUAUGAGAUGGAUUUAAUAAAAGGUAUGAUGCAAA